AAUGCAUACAUUAGCCCCGCUCUACAGUCCAAUAUCAAAGCAUCGUUUAGUAAGCCCAGACUUUGAGUUGCCCAAAAGCAAAACUGCUGAUACUUUUUGUUGUCUUUUGUAGGUUGACUGAAGGAAUGUCCAAUGCCCAAAAGGAUAGACCUCAGCAUCCUGGUUUUGAGACACCACUCAUGGUUGUGGGAAAAUCUACAGCUGAGGAAGUUGGCCAACUGGUUCUGGGUGCCCAGUAGGGUGAGUUCCAGAUGACUGAAAAGACUAAUGGUAAACCUGAUGAGGCCACGAAUCUGGUCCUGGGAUGGCCGUCGAAUCAGCCAAUGAUUGAGAAGCUAUCACCCUUGAGGGAGCAUCUGUGACUGGAGCGAGGUCUUUGCAACCAACCAACCUUUUGCUACGAAAGCCCUGAACUCCUCUUUUGAGUAGUCUGGCAAUUUAUCUGAGCAUUUAGACAUUGCC
Long non-coding RNA from Mauremys mutica (yellowpond turtle), 462 nucleotides. RefSeq lists it as uncharacterized. The transcript is spliced from 3 exons. The record is from RefSeq and is a predicted model, not a curated record. NCBI's taxonomy places the organism in Eukaryota, Metazoa, Chordata, Testudines, Geoemydidae.